This 253-nucleotide ribosomal RNA is filed under the name uncultured bacterium. RNAcentral's name for it is "partial 16S ribosomal RNA". It matches the Rfam family "Bacterial small subunit ribosomal RNA", at positions 524 to 776 of the family's 1533-position model. The record is from RNAcentral.
UACGUAGGGUGCAAGCGUUGUCCGGAAUUAUUGGGCGUAAAGAGCUCGUAGGCGGUCUGUCGCGUCGGCUGUGAAAACUCGGGGCUCAACUCCGAGCUUGCAGUCGAUACGGGCAGGCUAGAGUUCGGCAGGGGAGACUGGAAUUCCUGGUGUAGCGGUGAAAUGCGCAGAUAUCAGGAGGAACACCGGUGGCGAAGGCGGCAUCCUGGACCGGCAUUGACGCUGAGGAGCGAAAGCCAGGGGAGCAAACGGG